This 195-nucleotide ribosomal RNA is filed under the name uncultured Actinomycetes bacterium. Its description in RNAcentral is "uncultured actinobacterium partial 16S ribosomal RNA". It matches the Rfam family "Bacterial small subunit ribosomal RNA", at positions 317 to 522 of the family's 1533-position model. The record is from RNAcentral. Lineage: Bacteria; Bacillati; Actinomycetota; Actinomycetes.
GCCUACGGGAGGCAGCAUGUGGGCCUACGGGAGGCAGCAGUCAGGAAUAUUGCACAAUGGGAGAAAGCCUGAUGCAGCCAUGCCGCGUGUGUGAAGAAGGCCUUCGGGUUGUAAACCGCUUUCGGCAGGGACGAAGCGAAAGUGACGGUACCUGCAGAAGAAGGUCCGGCUAACUACGUGCCAGCAGCCGCGGUC